RNAcentral lists this transfer RNA (72 nucleotides) under Salarias fasciatus (jewelled blenny). Its description in RNAcentral is "tRNA-Thr". It matches the Rfam family "tRNA". From Rfam's summary of the family: Transfer RNA (tRNA) molecules are approximately 80 nucleotides in length. Their secondary structure includes four short double-helical elements and three loops (D, anti-codon, and T loops). The record is from RNAcentral. Lineage: Eukaryota; Metazoa; Chordata; Actinopteri; Blenniiformes; Blenniidae.
GCACUAGUAGCUCAGCGCCAGAGCGCCGGCCUUGUAAGUCGGACGUCGAAGGUUAAAAUCCUUCCUUCUGCU